GAAUAUUGGACAAUGGGCGAAAGCCUGAUCCAGCAAUGCCGCGUGAGUGAUGAAGGCCUUAGGGUUGUAAAGCUCUUUCGGCGGGGACGAUGAUGACGGUACCCGCAGAAGAAGCCCCGGCUAACUCCGUGCCAGCAGCCGCGGUAAUACGGAGGGGGCUAGCGUUGUUCGGAAUUACUGGGCGUAAAGGGCGCGCAGGCGGCUGCUCAAGUCAGGCGUGAAAGGCCUGGGCUCAACCCGGGAAUUGCGCUUGAGACUGAGCUGGCUUGAGUGCGGGAGAGGAUGGUGGAAUUCCCAGUGUAGAGGUGAAAUUCGUAGAUAUUCGGAAGAACACCAGUGGCGAAGGCGACUCGCUGGACAGGUAUUGACGCUGAGGUGCGAAAGCGUGGGGAGCAAACAGG
RNAcentral lists this ribosomal RNA (401 nucleotides) under uncultured bacterium. RNAcentral describes it as "bacterial SSU rRNA". It matches the Rfam family "Bacterial small subunit ribosomal RNA", at positions 359 to 776 of the family's 1533-position model. The record is from RNAcentral.